RNAcentral lists this long non-coding RNA (768 nucleotides) under Mytilus galloprovincialis (Mediterranean mussel). Lineage: Eukaryota; Metazoa; Mollusca; Bivalvia; Mytilida; Mytilidae. The record is from RNAcentral.
UUUUUUAUCCAGUAAAGUAAAUCUAUUGCAUAACUUGACUAAUGAUUAUUUUUAUUACUUGUCCUUUUUUGGACCUGAAAUGGACAGAAAAAUAAACAAACAGUCAAACAAUCAAUGCUGUUCAUAUUUUUAUUUGAUCAUUUUGAAUAAACAAAGUGUUUUCCACCAAUGAAAUUGUUGGAUUUGAUGUGUAUUAAUUAUGAAAAAUGAAUGUAAUUCUGUUUAUAUUCUCUUUAUACACAUACAUACCACACUUUUAUUUUGAUAUAUAGAUUUUCUAUUUUGUCAAAGAAAUUUUGAUUAUCAUAAAAGGACACUCUGAAAUACAGAAUGGGUACAUAUUGCCGUAGUUUCACCGUAUUUAUUAAUCAUAGACAUUAAUUCGUUCAUUCGGUAUUUGAAGAAAUGAACAUAAUUUUUCUGACCCUUUUAUUAUCUCAAUAAUAAUGUUAUUCUAGCUAUUACAGAGAACGAUAUUUUCACUUGAUAACUAUAUUAGCUCUAAUGAAUGUUAUAAAUAUGAAAUAAUGUUCAUAAUAAACUCAUCAUAAAUACCAGGAUUCCAAUUUUAUAUUUACGCCAGACGCGCGGUUCGUCUACAAAAGACUCACCAGUGACGGUCGAAUAACAAAAAAGUUAAAAAGGCCAAAUAAGUACGAAGUUAAAGAGCAUUGAUGACCAAAUAUUUCUCAAAGUUUUGCCAAAUAAAAUUAAGGUAAUAUUUUCCUGAUGUAGAAAAGCCUUUGUAUUUCAAACAUUUAAAGUUUU